RNAcentral lists this ribosomal RNA (427 nucleotides) under uncultured Gammaproteobacteria bacterium. RNAcentral describes it as "uncultured gamma proteobacterium partial 16S ribosomal RNA". It matches the Rfam family "Bacterial small subunit ribosomal RNA", at positions 355 to 774 of the family's 1533-position model. The record is from RNAcentral. Lineage: Bacteria; Pseudomonadati; Pseudomonadota; Gammaproteobacteria.
UGGGGAAUAUUGGACAAUGGGGGCAACCCUGAUCCAGCAAUGCCGCGUGUGUGAAGAAGGCCUGCGGGUUGUAAAGCACUUUCAGUGGGGAGGAAGGCCUUGGCGUUAAUAGCGCUGAGGAUUGACGUUACCCAAAGAAGAAGCACCGGCUAACUCUGUGCCAGCAGCCGCGGUAAUACAGAGGGUGCAAGCGUUAAUCGGAAUUACUGGGCGUAAAGGGUGCGUAGGUGGUUAAUUAAGUUGUAUGUGAAAACCCCGGGCUUAACCUGGGAAUUGCAUAUAAAACUGGUUAGCUAGAGUGCGGUAGAGGGAAGUGGAAUUUCCGGUGUAGCGGUGAAAUGCGUAGAUAUCGGAAGGAACAUCAGUGGCGAAGGCGACUUCCUGGACCGUUACUGACACUGAGGCACGAAAGCGUGGGGAGCGAACA